CUGCUGCCUCCCGUAGGAUCUGGUCCGUGUCUCAGUACCAGUGUGGGGGACCUUCCUCUCAGAACCCCUACGCAUCGUCGCCUCGGUGGGCCGUUACCCCCGCCGACUAGCUAAUGCGACGCAUGGCCAUCCUAUGCCGGAGUCGCCUCCUUUGACCCCAAGAAGAUGUCUCCUAAAGGUGUUAUGCGGUAUUAGACGGAAUUUCUUCCGCUUAUCCCCCUGCAUAGGGCAGGUUCCAUACGUGUUACUCACCCGUGCGCCGGUCG
RNAcentral lists this ribosomal RNA (266 nucleotides) under uncultured bacterium. RNAcentral describes it as "partial 16S ribosomal RNA". The record is from RNAcentral.